ACUCAAAUGAAUUGACGGGGGCCCGCACAAGCGGUGGAGCAUGUGGUUUAAUUCGACGCAACGCGAAGAACCUUACCUGGGUUAAAUCGCCAGGAAUCCUGCAGAGAUGUGGGAGUGCCCUUCGGGGAACCUGGUAGAAGGUGCUGCAUGGCUGUCGUCAGCUCGUGUCGUGAGAUGUUGGGUUAAGUCCCGCAACGAGCGCAACCCUUGUCGUUAGUUGCUAACAGGUCAAGCUGAGCACUCUAGCGAAACUGCCGACGUUAAGUCGGAGGAAGGUGGGGAUGACGUCAAGUCCUCAUGGCCCUUAUGCCCAGGGCUACACACGUGCUACAAUGGCCGGUACAAAGGGUCGCAAGCGCGCGAGCGUAAGCCAAUCCCAAAAAACCGGUCUCAGUUCGGAUUGGAGUCUGCAACUCGACUCCAUGAAGUUGGAAUCGCUAGUAAUCGCGGAUCAGCACGCCGCGGUGAAUACGUUCCCGGGCCUUGCACACACCGCCCGU
Molecule: ribosomal RNA, 500 nt
Filed under: uncultured bacterium
Lineage: Bacteria
Description: partial 16S ribosomal RNA
Rfam family: Bacterial small subunit ribosomal RNA
Source: RNAcentral